ACUCCUACGGGAGGCAGCAGUAGGAAUUUCCGCAAUGGACGAAGUCUGACGGAGCAAUGCCGCGUGAGUGAUGAAGGUUUCGAAUCGUAAAGCUCUGUUGUAAGGGAAGAAUAGCAAGAAUAGGAAAUGAUUCUUGUCUGACGGUACCUUACCAGAAAGCCACGGCUAACUACGUGCCAGCAGCCGCGGUAAUACGUAGGUGGCAAGCGUUAUCCGGAAUUAUUGGGCGUAAAGCGCAUGUAGGCGGCUCUUUAAGUCUGAUGUGAAAGCCUGUGGCUCAACCACAGAAUUGCAUUGGAUACUGGAGAGCUAGAAUCUUGGAGAGGUAAGUGGAAUUUCAUGUGUAGCGGUGGAAUGCGAGAUAUAUGAAGGACACCAAUGGC
Molecule: ribosomal RNA, 383 nt
Filed under: uncultured bacterium
Lineage: Bacteria
Description: bacterial SSU rRNA
Rfam family: Bacterial small subunit ribosomal RNA
Source: RNAcentral